CCUACGGGAGGCAGCAGUGAGGAAUAUUGGUCAAUGGCCGUAAGGCUGAACCAGCCAAGUCGCGUGAAGGAAGAAGGAUCUAUGGUUUGUAAACUUCUUUUAUAGGGGAAUAAAGGUAUCCACGUGUGGAUUUUUGCAUGUACCCUAUGAAUAAGCAUCGGCUAACUCCGUGCCAGCAGACGCGGUAAUACGGAGGAUGCGAGCGUUAUACUGAUUUAUUGGGUUUAACGGGUGCGUAGGGUGUUUUUUAAGUCAGCGGUGAAAGUUUGUGGCUCCACCAUAAAAUUGCCGUUGAAACUGGAAGACUUGAGUGUGUUUGAGGUAGGCGGAAUGCGUGGUGUAGCGGUGAAAUGCAUAGAUAUCACGCAGAACUCCGAUUGCGAAGGCAGCUUACUAAGCCAUAACUGACACUGAAGCACGAAAGCGUGGGGAUCAAACAGGAUUAGAUACCCGGGUAGUC
RNAcentral lists this ribosomal RNA (460 nucleotides) under uncultured bacterium. Its description in RNAcentral is "partial 16S ribosomal RNA". It matches the Rfam family "Bacterial small subunit ribosomal RNA", at positions 338 to 795 of the family's 1533-position model. The record is from RNAcentral.